UACGUAGGUGGCAAGCGUUGUCCGGAUUUACUGGGCGUAAAGAGCGCGCAGGCAGUCGUGCAAGUCGCGUGUGAAAGCCCCCCGGCUCAACUGGGGAGGGUCACGCGAUACUGCUCGACUCGAAGGCAGGAGAGGGAAGUGGAAUUCCCGGUGUAGUGGUGAAAUGCGUAGAUAUCGGGAGGAACACCAGUGGCGAAGGCGACUUCCUGGCCUGUUCUUGACGCUGAGGCGCGAAAGCUAGGGUAGCAAACGGG
Molecule: ribosomal RNA, 254 nt
Filed under: uncultured bacterium
Lineage: Bacteria
Description: partial 16S ribosomal RNA
Rfam family: Bacterial small subunit ribosomal RNA
Source: RNAcentral